RNAcentral lists this non-coding RNA (101 nucleotides) under Modestobacter sp. DSM 44400. Lineage: Bacteria; Bacillati; Actinomycetota; Actinomycetes; Geodermatophilales; Geodermatophilaceae. The record is from RNAcentral.
GAGAGCCCGGUGCAUUGAAAGGUGCACGCCGGGUUCGGGAAGCGGCCCGAGGAAACGGAACGGUCAUCGCGGCCGUCACCGCGCCUCGGGCCGACUUCUAC